GCAAUGGUGUCUUUAGACACCACAACUUCUCUCGAAUACAUUCUC
Molecule: non-coding RNA, 45 nt
Organism: Picea glauca (white spruce)
Lineage: Eukaryota; Viridiplantae; Streptophyta; Pinopsida; Pinales; Pinaceae
Source: Rfam